Molecule: ribosomal RNA, 253 nt
Filed under: uncultured bacterium
Lineage: Bacteria
Description: partial 16S ribosomal RNA
Rfam family: Bacterial small subunit ribosomal RNA
Source: RNAcentral
UACAGAGGUCCCAAGCGUUGUUCGGAUUCAUUGGGCGUAAAGGGUGCGUAGGUGGCGUCGUAAGUCGGGUGUGAAAUUUCGGAGCUCAACUCCGAAACUGCAUUCGAUACUGCGGUGCUUGAGGACUGGAGAGGAGACUGGAAUUUACGGUGUAGCAGUGAAAUGCGUAGAUAUCGUAAGGAAGACCAGUGGCGAAGGCGAGUCUCUGGACAGUUACUGACACUGAGGCACGAAGGCCAGGGGAGCAAACGGG